GACGAACGCUGGCGGCGUGCUUAGCACAUGCAAGUCGAACGGUAAGGCCCUUCGGGGUACACGAGUGGCGAACGGGUGAGUAACACGUGGGUGAUCUGCCCUGCACUUCGGGAUAAGCCUGGGAAACUGGGUCUAAUACCGGAUAGGACCACUGCCUGCAUGGGUGGUGGUGGACAGCUUUUGCGGUGUGGGAUGGGCCCGCGGCCUAUCAGCUUGUUGGUGGGGUGAUGGCCUACCAAGGCGACGACGGGUAGCCGGCCUGGGAGGGUGACCGGCCAGACUGGGACUGAGAUACGGCCCAGACUCCGACGGGAGGGAGCAGGGGGGAAUAUUGGACAGUGGGCGCAAGCCUGAUGCAGCGACGCCGCGUGAGGGAUGACGGCCUUCGGGUUGUAAACCUCUUUCAGCACCGACGAAGCGCAAGUGACGGUAGGUGCAGAAGAAGGACCGGCCAACUACGUGCCAGCCGCCGCGGUAA
Molecule: ribosomal RNA, 478 nt
Filed under: uncultured bacterium
Lineage: Bacteria
Description: partial 16S ribosomal RNA
Rfam family: Bacterial small subunit ribosomal RNA
Source: RNAcentral